RNAcentral lists this transfer RNA (76 nucleotides) under Pseudomonadota bacterium. RNAcentral's name for it is "Proteobacteria bacterium tRNA-Asn". It matches the Rfam family "tRNA". Rfam says of the family: Transfer RNA (tRNA) molecules are approximately 80 nucleotides in length. Their secondary structure includes four short double-helical elements and three loops (D, anti-codon, and T loops). Further hydrogen bonds mediate the characteristic L-shaped molecular structure. tRNAs have two regions of fundamental functional importance: the anti-codon, which is responsible for specific mRNA codon recognition, and the 3' end, to which the tRNAs corresponding amino acid is attached (by aminoacyl-tRNA synthetases). tRNAs cope with the degeneracy of the genetic code in two manners: having more than one tRNA (with a specific anti-codon) for a particular amino acid; and 'wobble' base-pairing, i.e. permitting non-standard base-pairing at the 3rd anti-codon position. Lineage: Bacteria; Pseudomonadati; Pseudomonadota. The record is from RNAcentral.
UCCCCGGUAGCUCAGUUGGUAGAGCAAUCGGCUGUUAACCGAUUGGUCGCAGGUUCGAGUCCUGCCCGGGGAGCCA